Molecule: long non-coding RNA, 1985 nt
Organism: Ailuropoda melanoleuca (giant panda)
Lineage: Eukaryota; Metazoa; Chordata; Mammalia; Carnivora; Ursidae
Exons: 4
Source: RefSeq, a predicted model, not a curated record
GCUGCCCGGGCUGAGCUAGUUUUUAAAGUAGCCGAGUCGAAGGGAUCCUACGGAGACCUCUUAUUUGUUCCUUUCUAAGGCCCUGUGGGACCCUCCCCUGUCCCGGACCCUGGGGACCUCGCGGAAGGCGGCUGUGAGUGCCAUCGCGCAAGCAGCUCCCGAGCUGAGGCGGGCAGUGGAGAUAGACCGACAGCCCCCGACGGCAGGGUCACAGGCAGAGCUGGGGAGGACGGUCACGGUCACCCAAACAGAAACCCACACAAUGAAGAAAACCAGGUAUUAGGAUCGUAACAGCUCGGCUGCCGAGAAAUGGGUCACGCACAUGAUUUUUAUGGAGACCGCAUUUUAUGAGCCUUCGCACGGCAAUCUGUGAACAGAGAUUUGCUAGGACAUCAGCGUGAAUAAAUGGGGUGGAAGCCAAAUGUGUUGUGCAGGAAUUUCUAGAAGCAUCCUAUAACUUCCAAAGUUGUGAAAAUGCUCCUUCUUCUAGAGACGCACUACAGCCUGCUUGUCCUGCCUCAGGAGAGCCGAUUGUAAGGAAUAUUUGGACCUACUUGUUAAAAGCAGUCAUUAUUAAAAAUUAAGUUAUCUCUACCUCCAGGGACAUCACAUCGGUAGUUUGAAAUCAGCCAAAGUGGGAAGAUGGACACCAUGAAAUCCACAGAAGACACUUCUGGAAAACAGUCCUCUCCUUUGUACACACACAUGGUGUCACUGAGACGUGAGGGGCCCCCGGAAGUUUGCGUUGUUGGCAGGUGGCCUCUGCACAGUGUACAAGCUCAUUUAGAAACCUCCCGAAUCUGUCUAUGAACCACCGCUAGUAAAGGAGAAACCAUCGUACCGGAACAUUGUCACAAAAAAGACGCAACGACGCCAUUGCCUAACCAAGAUCUUUGGGGAUGUGUGUCCGAAUGCUUGCGUGACACCAGCCAGGAAUUCAUGGAGUUGCUUCAAAACGCAGAGGGCAGGUGCAUCUCAGGCCUCGGUUCCAAGGACUUGCUAGGACAGAUUCUUGCAGAGAACAUCCAGAAAUAAAGAAGUCAGCCCUCACACAAGGCAAGAAUUGUUUGCCGAACUUUGGCAUUAAGCCAACCAUCUUGAUGUUUGCUCAUUCAACACCAACUGGGUAAAUACGGAGAGAAAACACUCAUCUCAGGGUAACAGCUCAGAGAACAGGCAGCUUGGCUGGAAAUUUAGCGGUAACCAUCUCAUAGAAUUAAAAGACUUCCAUUUACAUGCACCUUAAGAACCAGUUCUGGACCACAUUUGGGUAUAUUAUAUGGGUCUCAUUCUGGGCUGCGAGCUUAAUGGGGAUGUGUAAAAGGAGAAACAAUUCUCGCUGAACGGCAGCUGGAAAGGCAACUUGCUUUUGAGAAAGCUGUAACAACUCGUGAGAUUACACAUGGCAAUUUUCACACACUGAUAUGCUCACGAUUAAAGAAAAGUAAUAUUUAAAUGAUUUUCGCUACUUCUAAUUUUGGCAGUACCGGGCCCAAAGCACUGGGACUUCUCGAAUGGCUGGUGUGAUUUUUAUGGAGCCGGCCUUGAAUGUAUUGUUGGCCACGGCAGGGAGCUGGGCCGCUGGAAGAACUGAAUGACGCGGCGGGGAGAACAAAGCUCCCUAAGAGACUUGGAUUUUUUUUUUCCCCCGCUGGAAUAUGGUGGAAAGAAUGCUGGGCCAGCUGGCUCUAUUCUGACCCCGGUAGCUCUCUGAGCUGGUUGGACAUCCCUCCAGGAAGUUUUUGAUUUCUGGGGGCUGGGCCCUCCGUCUUCUAACACAGAUUGCCAGCAACUCGGGCACUCCUACUGGGUCAGAAUCUCUGAGCGGGUUGUAUUUUCAGGAAUCUUUUUGGGUGGUUCACGAGCGCAGGCAGGCGUGUCCCACUGCAAGGAGAGCAGGAAGAACCCCAGGCGUUGGAGGGACACCAACAUUUGACCUUCAGGAGAUUAUUUCACCUUCUUGAGUCUCAGUUUACGCCUCUGUA